UACAGAGGGGGCAAGCGUUGUUCGGAAUUACUGGGCGUAAAGGGCGCGUAGGCGGCCCGCUAAGUCGAACGUGAAUCCCCGAGCUCAACUCGGGAACUGCGUCCGAUACUGGCGGGCUUGAAUCCGGGAGAGGGAUGCGGAAUUCCAGGUGUAGCGGUGAAAUGCGUAGAUAUCUGGAGGAACACCGGUGGCGAAGGCGGCAUCCUGGACCGGCAUUGACGCUGAGGCGCGAAAGCUAGGGGAGCAAACGGG
Molecule: ribosomal RNA, 252 nt
Filed under: uncultured bacterium
Lineage: Bacteria
Description: partial 16S ribosomal RNA
Rfam family: Bacterial small subunit ribosomal RNA
Source: RNAcentral